AGCGAACGCUGGCGGCAGGCCUAACACAUGCAAGUCGAACGAACUCUUCGGAGUUAGUGGCGGACGGGUGAGUAACACGUGGGAACGUGCCUUUAGGUUCGGAAUAACUCAGGGAAACUUGUGCUAAUACCGAAUGUGCCCUUCGGGGGAAAGAUUUAUCGCCUUUAUAGCGGCCCGCGUCUGAUUAGCUAGUUGGUGAGGUAAAGGCUCACCAAGGCGACGAUCAGUAGCUGGUCUGAGAGGAUGAUCAGCCACAUUGGGACUGAGACACGGCCCAAACUCCUACGGGAGGCAGCAGUGGGGAAUCUUGCGCAAUGGGCGAAAGCCUGACGCAGCCAUGCCGCGUGAAUGAUGAAGGUCUUAGGAUUGUAAAAUUCUUUCACCGGGGACGAUAAUGACGGUACCCGGAGAAGAAGCCCCGGCUAACUUCGUG
This 433-nucleotide ribosomal RNA is filed under the name uncultured bacterium. RNAcentral describes it as "partial 16S ribosomal RNA". It matches the Rfam family "Bacterial small subunit ribosomal RNA", at positions 29 to 507 of the family's 1533-position model. The record is from RNAcentral.